RNAcentral lists this ribosomal RNA (611 nucleotides) under Blastocystis sp. subtype 10. RNAcentral describes it as "SSU rRNA". It matches the Rfam family "Eukaryotic small subunit ribosomal RNA", at positions 1 to 629 of the family's 1831-position model. Lineage: Eukaryota; Bigyra; Opalinata; Blastocystidae. The record is from RNAcentral.
UAUCUGGUUGAUCCUGCCAGUAGUCAUACGCUCGUCUCAAAGAUUAAGCCAUGCAUGUGUAAGUAUAAAUAGUCUACUUUAAAACUGCGAAUGGCUCAUUAUAUCAGUUAUAGUUUAUUUGAUGAAAUGUACUACUUGGAUAACCGUAGUAAUUCUAGAGCUAAUACAUGAUCGUCUCCUCGACUUUGAAGAGGUGUAUUUAUUAGAAUGAAAACCAAUAGACUUUGUCUGUUUGUGAGUAAUAAUAACUUGUCAUAUCGCAUGCUUUUGUAGCGAUGUGUCUUUUAAGUUUCUGCCCUAUCAGCUUUCGAUGGUAGUGUAUUGGACUACCAUGGCAGUAACGGGUAACGAAGAAUUUGGGUUCGAUUUCGGAGAGGGAGCCUGAGAGAUGGCUAUCACAUCCAAGGAAGGCAGCAGGCGCGUAAAUUACCCAAUCCUGACACAGGGAGGUAGUGACAAUAAAUCACAAUGCGGAACUUCUGUUUUGCAAUUGGAUUGAGAACAACGCACAACACUUAUCGAUAAACAAUUGGAGGGCAAGUCUGGUGCCAGCAGCCGCGGUAAUUCCAGCUCCAAUAGCGUAUAUUAACGUUGUUGCAGUUAAAAAGCUC